This 495-nucleotide ribosomal RNA is filed under the name uncultured bacterium. RNAcentral describes it as "bacterial SSU rRNA". It matches the Rfam family "Bacterial small subunit ribosomal RNA", at positions 899 to 1397 of the family's 1533-position model. The record is from RNAcentral.
ACUCAAAUGAAUUGACGGGGGCCCGCACAAGCAGUGGAGUAUGUGGUUUAAUUCGAAGCAACGCGAAGAACCUUACCAGGUCUUGACAUCCAACUAACGAAGCAGAGAUGCAUCAGGUGCCCUUCGGGGAAAGUUGAGACAGGUGGUGCAUGGUUGUCGUCAGCUCGUGUCGUGAGAUGUUGGGUUAAGUCCCGCAACGAGCGCAACCCUUAUGAUUAGUUGCUACGCAAGAGCACUCUAAUCAGACUGCCGUUGAUAAAACGGAGGAAGGUGGGGAUGACGUCAAAUCAUCAUGCCCUUUAUGAUCUGGGCUACACACGUACUACAAUGGCGCCUAACAGAGGGAAGCAAAGCAGCGAUGCCGAGCAAAUCCCCAAAAGGCGUCCCAGUUCAGAUUGUAGGCUGCAACCCGCCUACAUGAAGUCGGAAUUGCUAGUAAUCGCAGAUCAGCAUGCUGCGGUGAAUACGUUCCCGGGCCUUGUACACACCGCCCGU